This 361-nucleotide ribosomal RNA is filed under the name uncultured archaeon. RNAcentral describes it as "bacterial SSU rRNA". It matches the Rfam family "Archaeal small subunit ribosomal RNA", at positions 348 to 712 of the family's 1478-position model. The record is from RNAcentral.
CUUUACCAUGCGGGCAACCGUGAUAAGGAAACCCCGAGUGCCAGCACAGGCUGGCUGUCCGCCAGUUUAAAUAACUGGUGAAGAAAGGGCCGGGCAAGACCGGUGCCAGCCGCCGCGGUAAUACCGGCGGCUCGAGUGGUGGCCACUUUUAUUGGGCUUAAAGCGUUCGUAGCUGGGUUGUUAAGUCUCUUGGGAAAUCUGGCGGCUUAACCGUCAGGCGUCUAAGGGAUACUGGCAAUCUUGGAACCGGGAGAGGUGAGGGGUACGUUCGGGGGUAGGAGUGAAAUCCUGUAAUCCUCGAGGGACCACCUGUGGCGAAGGCGCCUCACCAGAACGGCUUCGACAGUGAGGGACGAAAGCU